Molecule: long non-coding RNA, 224 nt
Organism: Boleophthalmus pectinirostris (great blue-spotted mudskipper)
Lineage: Eukaryota; Metazoa; Chordata; Actinopteri; Gobiiformes; Gobiidae
Exons: 4
Source: RefSeq, a predicted model, not a curated record
CUGGAGUGCUUGGCCAAGGGGGAGCAGGGCCAGGCACUGGAAAUGGUCGAGGUCAGCCUUUACCUGGAGUGUUUCGUGGUUACCCUCUGAUUUCACCUAAAACAGGUGCAGGAAAAUCAAAAAAGGCGGGUAAAGCAGCAGCAAAAUACGGUGGAGUUGGAGGACCAGGUGGUUCAGGCACCCUUGGUCAGGGUGGUGCACUGGGUGGGGCAGGAUUUGGAGGU